AUAGAGAAAGAGAUUAGAAUGGGAGAGAAGGACCCCAGAAGAAAAACAAAAGGUAAAGGAAGGUAAGCUUGCUUCCUUUUUUUUUCCCUAGUUUGAUUUUUCCUUUU
Molecule: non-coding RNA, 107 nt
Filed under: uncultured eukaryote
Lineage: Eukaryota
Source: RNAcentral